AUCGCUUCUUGGCCUUUUGAGUAGUAUCAAGUGUAAUAUCUAUUUUUAUCAGUUUAAUAUCAAAGAUGCCCUCUAUCCAAGGACAAUAUGCUAAAUGGGAUUUCGGAGCUCGGAAGUGGAAUCCAUCUAUCUACUGUGCAUACCAACCUGAUAUUUUAGUAUCUGCAGGAAUGAUACCCACACA
This is a small nuclear RNA of Octodon degus (degu), 184 nucleotides long. Its record names the gene U2. It matches the Rfam family "U2 spliceosomal RNA". From Rfam's summary of the family: U2 is a small nuclear RNA (snRNA) component of the spliceosome (involved in pre-mRNA splicing). NCBI's taxonomy places the organism in Eukaryota, Metazoa, Chordata, Mammalia, Rodentia, Octodontidae. The record is from Ensembl.